This is a small nuclear RNA of Dipodomys ordii (Ord's kangaroo rat), 107 nucleotides long. NCBI's taxonomy places the organism in Eukaryota, Metazoa, Chordata, Mammalia, Rodentia, Heteromyidae. The record is from Ensembl.
GUACUCAUUUCAGCAGUAUGUACAAUAAAUUUAUAAUGAUAUAGAGAAAAUUAGCAUGGCCCUUGUGAAAGGACAACACACAAAUUUGUGAAGGAUUUCACAUUUUA